CCUACGGGUGGGAGCAGUGGGGAAUAUUGGACAAUGGGCGAAAGCCUGAUCCAGCCAUGCCGCGUGUGUGAAGAAGGCCUUCGGGUUGUAAAGCACUUUCAGUGGGGAAGAAAGCCUUGGGGCUAAUACCCUCGAGGAAGGACAUCACCCACAGAAGAAGCACCGGCUAACUCCGUGCCAGCAGCCGCGGUAAUACGGAGGGGGCGAGCGUUAAUCGGAAUUACUGGGCGUAAAGCGCGCGUAGGCGGUCUGAUAAGCCGGUUGUGAAAGCCCCGGGCUCAACCUGGGAACGGCAUCCGGAACUGUCAGGCUAGAGUGCAGGAGAGGAAGGUAGAAUUCCCGGUGUAGCGGUGAAAUGCGUAGAGAUCGGGAGGAAUACCAGUGGCGAAGGCGGCCUUCUGGACUGACACUGACGCUGAGGUGCGAAAGCGUGGGUAGCAAACAGGAUUAGAUACCCCGGUAGUC
This 465-nucleotide ribosomal RNA is filed under the name Vreelandella stevensii. Its description in RNAcentral is "partial 16S ribosomal RNA". It matches the Rfam family "Bacterial small subunit ribosomal RNA", at positions 338 to 795 of the family's 1533-position model. Lineage: Bacteria; Pseudomonadati; Pseudomonadota; Gammaproteobacteria; Oceanospirillales; Halomonadaceae. The record is from RNAcentral.